RNAcentral lists this ribosomal RNA (481 nucleotides) under uncultured bacterium. Its description in RNAcentral is "partial 16S ribosomal RNA". It matches the Rfam family "Bacterial small subunit ribosomal RNA", at positions 28 to 507 of the family's 1533-position model. The record is from RNAcentral.
GAUGAACGCUGGCGGCGUGCUUAACACAUGCAAGUCGAACGAAGCAUUUAGGACAGAUUACUUCGGUUUGAAGUUCUUUAUGACUGAGUGGCGGACGGGUGAGUAACGCGUGGGUAACCUGCCUUGUACUGGGGGAUAGCAGCUGGAAACGGCUGGUAAUACCGCAUAAGCGCACAAUGUUGCAUGACAUGGUGUGAAAAACUCCGGUGGUAUAAGGUGGACCCGCGUCUGAUUAGCUAGUUGGUGAGAUAACAGCCCACCAAGGCGACGAUCAGUAGCCGACCUGAGAGGGUGACCGGCCACAUUGGGACUGAGACACGGCCCAGACUCCUACGGGAGGCAGCAGUGGGGAAUAUUGCACAAUGGAGGAAACUCUGAUGCAGCGACGCCGCGUGAGUGAAGAAGUAAUUCGUUAUGUAAAGCUCUAUCAGCAGGGAAGAUAGUGACGGUACCUGACUAAGAAGCUCCGGCUAAAUACGUG